GCUCCUAUCGUUUAAAGGCUUAGGACAAUGCCUUUUCGUGGCAUUAAUGUGGGUUCGAAUCCCACUAGGAGUA
Molecule: transfer RNA, 73 nt
Rfam family: tRNA
About the family: Transfer RNA (tRNA) molecules are approximately 80 nucleotides in length. Their secondary structure includes four short double-helical elements and three loops (D, anti-codon, and T loops).